AAAUUGAAGAGUUUGAUCAUGGCUCAGAUUGAACGCUGGCGGCAGGCCUAACACAUGCAAGUCGAACGGUAACAGGAAUCAGCUUGCUGAUUUGCUGACGAGUGGCGGACGGGUGAGUAAUGUCUGGGAAACUGCCUGAUGGAGGGGGAUAACUACUGGAAACGGUAGCUAAUACCGCAUAACGUCGCAAGACCAAAGAGGGGGACCUUCGGGCCUCUUGCCAUCGGAUGUGCCCAGAUGGGAUUAGCUAGUAGGUGGGGUAAAGGCUCACCUAGGCGACGAUCCCUAGCUGGUCUGAGAGGAUGACCAGCCACACUGGAACUGAGACACGGUCCAGACUCCUACGGGAGGCAGCAGUGGGGAAUAUUGCACAAUGGGCGCAAGCCUGAUGCAGCCAUGCCGCGUGUAUGAAGAAGGCCUUCGGGUUGUAAAGUACUUUCAGCGGGGAGGAAGGGAGUAAAGUUAAUACCUUUGCUCAUUGACGUUACCCGCAGAAGAAGCACCGGCUAACUCCGUGCCAGCAGCCGCGGUAAUACGGAGGGUGCAAGCGUUAAUCGGAAUUACUGGGCGUAAAGCGCACGCAGGCGGUUUGUUAAGUCAGAUGUGAA
Molecule: ribosomal RNA, 608 nt
Filed under: Escherichia coli
Lineage: Bacteria; Pseudomonadati; Pseudomonadota; Gammaproteobacteria; Enterobacterales; Enterobacteriaceae
Description: bacterial SSU rRNA
Rfam family: Bacterial small subunit ribosomal RNA
Source: RNAcentral